This 328-nucleotide unclassified non-coding RNA is filed under the name soil metagenome. RNAcentral's name for it is "partial contains 5.8S ribosomal RNA, internal transcribed spacer 2, and large subunit ribosomal RNA". The stretch from base 1 to 119 matches the Rfam family "5.8S ribosomal RNA", at positions 35 to 154 of the family's 154-position model. The record is from RNAcentral.
GAUGAAGAACGUAGCGAAAUGCGAUAAGUAAUGCGAAUUGCAGAAUCCGUGAGUCAUCGAAUCUUUGAACGCACAUUGCGCCCCCUGGUAUUCCGGGGGGCAUGCCUGUCCGAGCGUCAUUACAACCCUCAAGCUCAGCUUGGUGUUGGGCCCCGCCGCCCCGGCGGGCCCUAAAGUCAGUGGCGGUGCCGUCCGGCUCCGAGCGUAGUAAUUCUUCUCGCUCUGGAGGUCCGGUCGUGUGCUUGCCAGCAACCCCCAAUUUUUUUCAGGUUGACCUCGGAUCAGGUAGGGAUACCCGCUGAACUUAAGCAUAUCAAUAAGCGGAAGA